This 151-nucleotide unclassified non-coding RNA is filed under the name uncultured Pleosporales. RNAcentral's name for it is "sequence contains ITS2". The record is from RNAcentral. Lineage: Eukaryota; Fungi; Ascomycota; Dothideomycetes; Pleosporales.
AACCCCUCAAGCUCUGCUUGGUGUUGGGCGUCUGUCCCGCCUCAGGCGCGGACUCGCCUUAAAAUCAUUGGCGGCCUAUGUACCGGCUUCGAGCGCAGCACAUUCGCGUCUCCUGCCUGGCACCCUGGCGUCCAGCAAGCCUCAUACCCCA